This is an RNA transcript of Solanum lycopersicum (tomato), 1596 nucleotides long. It is a transcript of the gene named SWR1 complex subunit 2, with no coding region annotated. NCBI's taxonomy places the organism in Eukaryota, Viridiplantae, Streptophyta, Magnoliopsida, Solanales, Solanaceae. The record is from RefSeq and is a predicted model, not a curated record.
AUAUUUUUUUCUCGCGGAUACAUGUAAGAAACAAAAAUCACAAUUGAGUUCUCUUACUUUUAUUAAUUUUAUUAACAUAGUUUAGUACUUGUGAUUGUUUAACGAACACCAACUGUUCGACAAAUUGUCUCUGUAAAAGAUUGUAACUUUUUUAUAACCAAAAUCAAGAUUCUGAAAUCUGAUCAGCAGAUAUGGAGACCAGUAAAGAGGGAAAUGCAGUUUUUCUCGAUCGUACUUCUCGUGCUACUAGAGGCAAACGGAUGACUAAAUUGUUGGAUGAUGAGGUAGAAGAGGAUGAACUUUUCUGGAAUCAGGAAGCUCUUAAAGAUGAAGAGAAUGACAUUGAAUAUGAAGAGGAAGGGGAAGCUGUGGAUGUUUUCGACAGUGACUUUGAUGAAGAUGAACCCGAGCCUGAUGAAGAAGGAGAAAAUGAACCCGAUGACAGGACACAGACCAAAAAGCGAUUGACCUAUCCAGGAAGACCGCCUGCAAAGAAGAAAAAGAAAAUGAAAGCCCUUACCAAGACAGAAAAGGCACACCAAGAAAAUGAAGAAGCUCCAGAUCCGUCCACCCCUUCUGAACAUCAUGGUGCUCAUGAUGAUACUGAAGCAGAAAGAACAAUUAGGAAAUCAACAAGAACGGCUGUCGUUGUAAAACAAGCUGAAAGGGAAGCCAUUCGUGCAGCCUUGCAGGCAACAACAAAGCCUAUAAAAAGAAAAAAGGAAGGCGAGGAAAAGAAGAUGACUCAAGAAGAGAUGCUUCUUGAAGCAGCUCAAACAGAGGUCAUGAAUCUGAGGAAUUUGGAGCGGGUUCUAGCAAGGGAAGAGGAAGUCAAGAAAAAGGCCAUUGUGCAUAAAGCAGUUUACAAUGGUCCUCAGAUACGAUAUAUAUCCAAAAACGGUUCUUCCUACCUAGAGUUUGUCAAUGGAGCGUCUUUCGGUUCACAGAUCACAACAACAUCCACUCCAUGUAAUUACAAGUUUGCUAUAUCCUGUUCCUCUCAGUUACAUUUCCCUAACAAUCGGCUUCAUAGACCCCCAGAAGGCAGUGUGUGUGGUUACUGGGCUGCCUGCACGGUAUCGUGACCCGAAAACUGGGCUUCCUUAUGCAACUAAAGAAGCAUUUAAGAUCAUACGCGAACGGUUUGCUGAGGAAAGAAGCAGGGCUCGGGAGGAAAAGCAUAUGGACGAGUUGUCUCAGGCGAUUUCUGGGCUAGGAUUUACCUCGAAACGAAAGAGGUCCAUUCCAAAUAAUAGAAAAACGUCAUAUACCCCGCGAGUAUUUGAUCGUUUCCGCAAGUUUCCUGCUGAUGACUCCAUGUCUGAGGAUUCAGAGUAGUCACUAUGUACAAUUUGAUCCUCUUUAUUUUUAGCCUAGGUUUGUAGAAAUGCAGAAGGUAGUAUUUUUUUUCUCUUGAUUAGCUUGUAUAAUCAGUUUUAGUCUUCUAGAGUUUUAAAUGACAUUUAUAUGGCACGAGCUGUAAAAGCGUAAGAGCUAUUUAUAUAGAACCGCCUUCAGGCGAUUCUCACAUCUUCCGAUCCUCUACUUAGUUGCUUUUGAUUACAUCGAAAAAAUGAAGGACCACUUGGCAUGUAA